RNAcentral lists this ribosomal RNA (459 nucleotides) under uncultured bacterium. RNAcentral's name for it is "partial 16S ribosomal RNA". It matches the Rfam family "Bacterial small subunit ribosomal RNA", at positions 338 to 795 of the family's 1533-position model. The record is from RNAcentral.
CCUACGGUAGUCUGCAGUGAGGAAUAUUGGUCAAUGGGCGCGAGCCUGAACCAGCCAAGUAGCGUGAAGGAUGACUGCCCUACGGGUUGUAAACUUCUUUUAUAAAGGAAUAAAGUGAGGCACGUGUGCCUUUUUGUAUGUACUUUAUGAAUAAGGAUCGGCUAACUCCGUGCCAGCAGCCGCGGUAAUACGGAGGAUCCGAGCGUUAUCCGGAUUUAUGGGGUUUACAGGGAGCGUAGAUGGGUUGUUACGUCAGUGGUCAAAUUGAGGGGCUCAACCCCUUCCCGCCAUUGAAACUGGCGCUCUGGAGUGGAAGAGAGGUAUGCGGAAUGCGUGGUGUAGCGGUGAAAUGCAUAGAUAUCACGCAGAACCCCGAUUGCGAAGGCAGCAUGCCGGCUUCCGACUGACGCUGAAGCACGAAAGCGUGGGGAUCGAACAGGAUUAGAUACCCGAGUAGUC